RNAcentral lists this non-coding RNA (24 nucleotides) under Arabidopsis thaliana (thale cress). The record is from RNAcentral. Lineage: Eukaryota; Viridiplantae; Streptophyta; Magnoliopsida; Brassicales; Brassicaceae.
AGGAGAGCCAUUCAACAAAUCAUA